Molecule: small RNA, 55 nt
Filed under: Arabidopsis thaliana (thale cress)
Lineage: Eukaryota; Viridiplantae; Streptophyta; Magnoliopsida; Brassicales; Brassicaceae
Description: ATSL072540
Source: RNAcentral
UUUUGAUUUCUUUGCUUGAAAUUGUUAAACUAAUAAGUGCGUGGAAUGUAUACGU